RNAcentral lists this ribosomal RNA (523 nucleotides) under uncultured bacterium. RNAcentral describes it as "bacterial SSU rRNA". It matches the Rfam family "Bacterial small subunit ribosomal RNA", at positions 1 to 523 of the family's 1533-position model. The record is from RNAcentral.
CAACAGCUAGAGUUUGAUCCUGGCUCAGGAUGAACGCUGGCGGCGUGCCUAACACAUGCAAGUCGAACGGAGCACCCCGGAACGAGACUUCGGUCAAGGGAAGGGAAUGCUUAGUGGCGGACGGGUGAGUAACGCGUGAGGAACCUGCCUUGUAGUGGGGGAUAACACUUAGAAAUAGGUGCUAAAACCGCAUAAGCGCACGGGACCGCAUGGUCUUGUGUGAAAAACUCCGGUGGUACAGGAUGGUCCCGCGUCUGAUUAGCCAGUUGGCAGGGUAACGGCCUACCAAAGCGACGAUCAGUAGCCGGCCUGAGAGGGUGAACGGCCACAUUGGGACUGAGACACGGCCCAAACUCCUACGGGAGGCAGCAGUGGGGAAUAUUGCACAAUGGGGGAAACCCUGAUGCAGCGACGCCGCGUGAGUGAAGAAGUAUUUCGGUAUGUAAAGCUCUAUCAGCAGGGAAGAAGAUGACGGUACCUGAGUAAGAAGCCCCGGCUAACUACGUGCCAGCAGCCGCGGUAA